UGUUUUUUAAUGAUUUUUUUGGGGGGGGGAAACGUGUGGACACUCCAGGUGUUGAUUUAGAAUUGUAUCUGAAGGUGUGUGGAUGAACGGCCCGUUGGACAGACGAUAUAAAGGUUUUUACAGCAGGUUGACUGACUCAGUGAUUACUACGUAGACACCUUAGAGCAGCUCUGACCCUGCUGCUCUCCUACCUUUUAUCAUUCGUCCCAGGUCUAAAUCAGUCCCUGAUUAGAGGGGAAUCACCCACCUGGUGUCCCAGGUCUAAAUCAGUCCCUGAUUAGAGGGGAAUCACCCACCUGGUGUCCCCAGGUCUAAAUCAGUCCCUGAUUAGAGGGGGAAUCACCCACCUGGUGUCCCCAGGUCUAAAUCAGUCCCUGAUUAGAGGGGAACAGUGACGCUGGCUUGGAGCUCCAGGGUCCUAGAGGUCAUAGCUGUUCUACAUGUUAUUCUAUGGGCUUUAAUCAGUCAGGAUCGGCUGCUUUCAUCUCCAGUGUGUUUUGCUGUACAGCAGGUUUCUCAAACUCGGUCCCGGGGUCCCCUCUUGGGUACAACGUUUUGGUUGUUGUCCUAGCACGACACAGCUGACUGAAAUUACAACUAAAACAUGUACACACACACACACACACACACACACACACACACACACACACACACACACACACACACACACACGUGUGUCUGCCCUUGUAUGGGCGGUGUAGUGUCUAUAUAUAAGGGCUAAAGGAGAUCUGUUGGAUCAUGUAGCA
This 746-nucleotide long non-coding RNA is filed under the name Salmo salar (Atlantic salmon). Its description in RNAcentral is "lncRNA (ENSSSAG00000092367.1)". The record is from RNAcentral. Lineage: Eukaryota; Metazoa; Chordata; Actinopteri; Salmoniformes; Salmonidae.